UAAAAAUCUAGAGCCAGAAGG
This 21-nucleotide non-coding RNA is filed under the name Caenorhabditis elegans. The record is from RNAcentral. Lineage: Eukaryota; Metazoa; Nematoda; Chromadorea; Rhabditida; Rhabditidae.